RNAcentral lists this ribosomal RNA (460 nucleotides) under uncultured bacterium. RNAcentral describes it as "partial 16S ribosomal RNA". It matches the Rfam family "Bacterial small subunit ribosomal RNA", at positions 338 to 795 of the family's 1533-position model. The record is from RNAcentral.
CCUACGGGAGGCUAUAGUGAGGAAUAUUGGUCAAUGGGCGCGAGCCUGAACCAGCCAAGUAGCGUGAAGGAUGACUGCCCUACGGGUUGUAAACUUCUUUUAUAAAGGAAUAAAGUGAGGCACGUGUGCCUUUUUGUAUGUACUUUAUGAAUAAGGAUCGGCUAACUCCGUGCCAGCAGCCGCGGUAAUACGGAGGAUCCGAGCGUUAUCCGGAUUUAUUGGGUUUAAAGGGAGCGUAGAUGGGUUGUUAAGUCAGUUGUGAAAGUUUGCGGCUCAACCGUAAAAUUGCAAUUGAUACUGGCAGCCUUGAGUAUAGUUGCGGUAUGCGGAAUUCGUGGUGUAGCGGUGAAAUGCUUAGAUAUCACGCAGAACCCCGAUUGCGAAGGCAGCUUACUAAACUGCCACUGACAUUGAUGCUCGAAAGUGUGGGUAUCAAACAGGAUUAGAUACCCUAGUAGUC